GCCUCGCGGCCUAUCAGCUAGUUGGUGGGGUAACGGCCCACCAAGGCGACGACGGGUAGCCGGCCUGAGAGGGCGACCGGCCACACUGGGACUGAGACACGGCCCAGACUCCUACGGGAGGCAGCAGUGGGGAAUAUUGCACAAUGGGCGAAAGCCUGAUGCAGCGACGCCGCGUGAGGGAUGACGGCCUUCGGGUUGUAAACCUCUUUCAGCAGGGAAGAAGCGAAAGUGACGGUACCUGCAGAAGAAGCGCCGGCUAACUACGUGCCAGCAGCCGCGGUAAUACGUAGGGCGCAAGCGUUGUCCGGAAUUAUUGGGCGUAAAGAGCUCGUAGGCGGUUUGUCGCGUCUGCUGUGAAAACGCGAGGCUCAACCUCGCGCCUGCAGUGGGUACGGGCAGACUAGAGUGCGGUAGGGGAGACUGGAAUUCCUGGUGUAGCGGUGGAAUGCGCAGAUAUCAGGAGGAACACCGGUGGCGAAGGCGGGUCU
RNAcentral lists this ribosomal RNA (488 nucleotides) under uncultured bacterium. RNAcentral's name for it is "bacterial SSU rRNA". It matches the Rfam family "Bacterial small subunit ribosomal RNA", at positions 228 to 728 of the family's 1533-position model. The record is from RNAcentral.